Molecule: ribosomal RNA, 272 nt
Filed under: Bacillus sp. ISL-18
Lineage: Bacteria; Bacillati; Bacillota; Bacilli; Caryophanales; Bacillaceae
Description: partial 16S ribosomal RNA
Rfam family: Bacterial small subunit ribosomal RNA
Source: RNAcentral
UUCAUGGAGAGUUUGAUCCUGGCUCAGGACGAACGCUGGCGGCGUGCCUAAUACAUGCAAGUCGAGCGAAUCAAUAGGAGCUUGCUCCUGUUGGUUAGCGGCGGACGGGUGAGUAACACGUGGGCAACCUGCCUGUAAGACUGGGAUAACACCGGGAAACCGGUGCUAAUACCGGAUAAUCCUUUUCCUCUCAUGAGGAAAAGCUGAAAGUCGGUUUCGGCUGACACUUACAGAUGGGCCCGCGGCGCAUUAGCUAGUUGGUGAGGUAACGG